AGACUUAGGAUGAUACUAAAACCGAGGGCCUUCAAAGCCCUAAACAAGAGCACCAGCCUCUUAGCCUCUGCACU
Molecule: transfer RNA, 74 nt
Filed under: Draco fimbriatus
Lineage: Eukaryota; Metazoa; Chordata; Lepidosauria; Squamata; Agamidae
Description: tRNA-Trp
Source: RNAcentral